Molecule: long non-coding RNA, 537 nt
Filed under: Prunus persica (peach)
Lineage: Eukaryota; Viridiplantae; Streptophyta; Magnoliopsida; Rosales; Rosaceae
Description: long non-coding RNA (PPER_LNC000802)
Source: RNAcentral
GACUGCUGAUCUGGCUUUGAAUUGAUAACCAACAGUGAUGAUCAAACCUCAAGUCUUUGCAAAUGUAAUCUGGAAACUGGGUAAAAAUUAAACCAAUUAAAUCCAGUCUUUUUAGAUUAAAUCACCAUUGAUGGUAAUUAACCUUUAUUUUGUGAAGAUUAAUUCAUGUAAUUGGUUUCAUUCUAUUUCCCCUCUUUUAAGAUGACAUGGGCUGACUUUCAAUUUCGGUAAAAUAGAGCCCAAACCUGUGCCAUUAAUAUAUCCCAAUAGCCAGAUGGCGCAAAAAUUAGGCCCAAAUAGUUCCCAUACAUGUUGAGUAGGAGCAAGCAGACAAGGAGAAGGACAUAAGCAUGUUGCUUAGCAUGUCGGCAUGUCACAAGAAUCCACGAGCCUCUCUUAAAAUGGAUCGAGUAUCCAAUUAAGAUUAAUUCCAAUGAUCAAUAUGCAUGAGAGGUUGGGCCUACAAUCCGAAGUUUACGCCCGCCUGGGCCCUCAAAGAGGAGUUCACGCGAGACUAGGCCUCAGAUGAGAUCAACC